This 31-nucleotide non-coding RNA is filed under the name Homo sapiens (human). The record is from RNAcentral. Lineage: Eukaryota; Metazoa; Chordata; Mammalia; Primates; Hominidae.
UCCUGAGCUCAGUAANAAAUGGGGAUGCAGU